This 23-nucleotide small RNA is filed under the name Arabidopsis thaliana (thale cress). RNAcentral describes it as "ATSL242210". Lineage: Eukaryota; Viridiplantae; Streptophyta; Magnoliopsida; Brassicales; Brassicaceae. The record is from RNAcentral.
AUUGAAGAAGAAGAAAAAACAAA